AGAAGAGAAAGGGUUACAAAGUUGGACAAUGAUUGAAUAGUUGGGUGGAAAAGUAAGGCACGAGAAAGAAAAAAGUUCUCACAACUAAUUCCCAAGCUUCUCAGGAAUUGUAAUCAAGUGCACCCUCCAAUUCAGUACAAUGGAAUCCUUCAGAUGGAUCUCAAGAAAUGGAGAACAACAACAGUUUUACUUCACUAUUAGUGGGAUCAUUUGAUCAUUCCCAGCCUCUGCAAUUUUCCUAACAAGGCUCAACAUCUAUGGUACACCAUACUCAAGCAGAGGAAAGAAAUGGUGGAUUGAGUCAACCAUCCAUGUGCCCUUCUCCUAAUGUUACACCUACCGUUCAUGAUCAAAUUUCCAAUUUUUUUCAUGAUUCGGAUCAUAUUUGUAUGUACUUCGAAACACAUUUGGAGUAGUAAGGAAUGAUAUGUCAU
This is a long non-coding RNA of Telopea speciosissima, 434 nucleotides long. RefSeq lists it as uncharacterized. The transcript has 2 exons. The record is from RefSeq and is a predicted model, not a curated record. Lineage: Eukaryota; Viridiplantae; Streptophyta; Magnoliopsida; Proteales; Proteaceae.